UACGUAGGGUGCAAGCGUUGUCCGGAAUUAUUGGGCGUAAAGAGCUCGUAGGCGGUCUGUUGCGUCGGCUGUGAAAACCCGGGGCUCAACCCCGGGCCUGCAGCCGAUACGGGCAGACUAGAGUUCGGCAGGGGAGACUGGAAUUCCUGGUGUAGCGGUGAAAUGCGCAGAUAUCAGGAGGAACACCGGUGGCGAAGGCGGGUCUCUGGGCCGAUACUGACGCUGAGGCACGAAAGCGUGGGGAGCAAACAGG
RNAcentral lists this ribosomal RNA (253 nucleotides) under uncultured bacterium. RNAcentral describes it as "partial 16S ribosomal RNA". It matches the Rfam family "Bacterial small subunit ribosomal RNA", at positions 524 to 776 of the family's 1533-position model. The record is from RNAcentral.